CCUACGGGAAGCAGCAGUGGGGAAUAUUGGACAAUGGGCGAAAGCCUGAUCCAGCCAUGCCGCGUGUGUGAAGAAGGCCUUCGGGUUGUAAAGCACUUUCAGUGGGGAAGAAAGCCUUGGGGCUAAUACCCUCGAGGAAGGACAUCACCCACAGAAGAAGCACCGGCUAACUCCGUGCCAGCAGCCGCGGUAAUACGGAGGGUGCGAGCGUUAAUCGGAAUUACUGGGCGUAAAGCGCGCGUAGGCGGUCUGAUAAGCCGGUUGUGAAAGCCCCGGGCUCAACCUGGGAACGGCAUCCGGAACUGUCAGGCUAGAGUGCAGGAGAGGAAGGUAGAAUUCCCGGUGUAGCGGUGAAAUGCGUAGAGAUCGGGAGGAAUACCAGUGGCGAAGGCGGCCUUCUGGACUGACACUGACGCUGAGGUGCGAAAGCGUGGGUAGCAAACAGGAUUAGAUACCCGGGUAGUC
This 465-nucleotide ribosomal RNA is filed under the name Vreelandella stevensii. RNAcentral's name for it is "partial 16S ribosomal RNA". It matches the Rfam family "Bacterial small subunit ribosomal RNA", at positions 338 to 795 of the family's 1533-position model. Lineage: Bacteria; Pseudomonadati; Pseudomonadota; Gammaproteobacteria; Oceanospirillales; Halomonadaceae. The record is from RNAcentral.